RNAcentral lists this ribosomal RNA (428 nucleotides) under Bacteroidota bacterium. Its description in RNAcentral is "Bacteroidetes bacterium partial 16S ribosomal RNA". It matches the Rfam family "Bacterial small subunit ribosomal RNA", at positions 355 to 776 of the family's 1533-position model. Lineage: Bacteria; Pseudomonadati; Bacteroidota. The record is from RNAcentral.
UAGGGAAUCUUCGGCAAUGGGGGGAACCCUGACCGAGCAACGCCGCGUGAGUGAAGAAGGUUUUCGGAUCGUAAAGCUCUGUUGUUAAGGAAGAACGAGUGUGAGAAUGGAAAGUUCAUACUGUGACGGUACUUAACCAGAAGGGACGGCUAACUACGUGCCAGCAGCCGCGGUAAUACGUAGGUCCCGAGCGUUGUCCGGAUUUAUUGGGCGUAAAGCGAGCGCAGGCGGUUAGAUAAGUCUGAAGUUAAAGGCAGUGGCUCAACCAUUGUAGGCUUUGGAAACUGUUUAACUUGAGUGCAGAAGGGGAGAGUGGAAUUCCAUGUGUAACGGUGAAAUGCGUAGAUAUAUGGAGGAACACCGGUGGCGAAAGCGGCUCUCUGGUCUGUAACUGACGCUGAGGCUCGAAAGCGUGGGGAGCGAACAGG